CAGGACGUGGGAAAGUCGGGGCAUUCCGCCGGUUUCGGGAACCGGAGAUCGCUGGUUCAAAUCCAGCCGUCCUGA
Molecule: transfer RNA, 75 nt
Filed under: Aeoliella straminimaris
Lineage: Bacteria; Pseudomonadati; Planctomycetota; Planctomycetia; Pirellulales; Lacipirellulaceae
Rfam family: tRNA
About the family: Transfer RNA (tRNA) molecules are approximately 80 nucleotides in length.
Source: Rfam by way of RNAcentral